AGAGUUUGAUCAUGGCUCAGAUUGAACGCUGGCGGCAGGCCUAACACAUGCAAGUCGAACGGUAACAGGAAACAGCUUGCUGUUUCGCUGACGAGUGGCGGACGGGUGAGUAAUGUCUGGGAAACUGCCUGAUGGAGGGGGAUAACUACUGGAAACGGUAGCUAAUACCGCAUAACGUCGCAAGACCAAAGAGGGGGACCUUCGGGCCUCUUGCCAUCAGAUGUGCCCAGAUGGGAUUAGCUAGUAGGUGGGGUAACGGCUCACCUAGGCGACGAUCCCUAGCUGGUCUGAGAGGAUGACCAGCCACACUGGAACUGAGACACGGUCCAGACUCCUACGGGAGGCAGCAGUGGGGAAUAUUGCACAAUGGGCGCAAGCCUGAUGCAGCCAUGCCGCGUGUAUGAAGAAGGCCUUCGGGUUGUAAAGUACUUUCAGCGGGGAGGAAGGGAGUAAAGUUAAUACCUUUGCUCAUUGACGUUACCCGCAGAAGAAGCACCGGCUAACUCCGUGCCAGCAGCCGCGGUAAUACGGAGGGUGCAAGCGUUAAUCGGAAUUACUGGGCGUAAAGCGCACGCAGGCGGUUUGUUAAGUCAGAUGUGAAAUCCCCGGGCUCAACCUGGGAACUGCAUCUGAUACUGGCAAGCUUGAGUCUCGUAGAGGGGGGUAGAAUUCCAGGUGUAGCGGUGAAAUGCGUAGAGAUCUGGAGGAAUACCGGUGGCGAAGGCGGCCCCCUGGACGAAGACUGACGCUCAGGUGCAAAAGCGUGGGGAGCAAACAGGAUUAGAUACCCUGGUAGUCCACGCCGUAAACGAUGUCGACUUGGAGGUUGUGCCCUUGAGGCGUGGCUUCCGGAGCUAACGCGUUAAGUCGACCGCCUGGGGAGUACGGCCGCAAGGUUAAAACUCAAAUGAAUUGACGGGGGCCCGCACAAGCGGUGGAGCAUGUGGUUUAAUUCGAUGCAACGCGAAGAACCUUACCUGGUCUUGACAUCCACGGAAGUUUUCAGAGAUGAGAAUGUGCCUUCGGGAACCGUGAGACAGGUGCUGCAUGGCUGUCGUCAGCUCGUGUUGUGAAAUGUUGGGUUAAGUCCCGCAACGAGCGCAACCCUUAUCCUUUGUUGCCAGCGGUCCGGCCGGGAACUCAAAGGAGACUGCCAGUGAUAAACUGGAGGAAGGUGGGGAUGACGUCAAGUCAUCAUGGCCCUUACGACCAGGGCUACACACGUGCUACAAUGGCGCAUACAAAGUGAAGCGACCUCGCGAGAGCAAGCGGACCUCAUAAAGUGCGUCGUAGUCCGGAUUGGAGUCUGCAACUCGACUCCAUGAAGUCGGAAUCGCUAGUAAUCGUGGAUCAGAAUGUCACGGUGAAUACGUUCCCGGGCCUUGUACACACCGCCCGUCACACCAUGGGAGUGGGUUGCAAAAGAAGUAGGUAGCUUAACCUUCGGGAGGGCGCUUACCACUUUGUGAUUCAUGACUGGGGUGAAGUCGUAACAAGGUAACCGUAGGGGAA
Molecule: ribosomal RNA, 1512 nt
Filed under: metagenome
Description: bacterial SSU rRNA
Rfam family: Bacterial small subunit ribosomal RNA
Source: RNAcentral